CCCACCUCACCCCCACCUCACCCCCGGACACUCAGCCACAGCAGCAGUCAUUAUGGACCGUUAAAUCAGGGGAAAAACCCGGUAGGAGAUAAGGCGCGUUUGGAACGGAACACAGAAUGGACGCCGUGAACGCAACUACUGCGGUCUGAUGGCAGCUGAUGGUGUGGCUUCUACACUGGAAACAUGAAAAAUACUAAAAAUCUGGCAGACAGCUUGCAAGGAGAGACGGUUAAAAUGGACAUUGGCCUCUCGCAGUAUGGAUGAAGACGUUACUCUUACACUUAUUCUCAGCUGCAGGUCUGGAUACAGCAGCUCAGAGGCUCAUACAUUCAACUCCAAAGGGCUACUCUACGUUUCUGAAACACCUCCUGUGUAAGGAUGUCUGCAUUCUUUGCAACCAACCCGCAGACUUUCAGAUGUUCCCCUUAAUAUCUUGACAUUCUCUCCUUGAGCUUCAUGAGGAAGUCACCUGAAAUGGUUUUCCAACAGUCUCAAAGGAGUUCCCAGAGAUGCUGAGGACUUGUUGGUCCUUUUGCCGUCUAAUAAUAAUAAUACUACUAAUUACUAGCGCACUGUAAAAAAAAAAAAAAGUUGUUUUUAUGGUAAAAUUCUGGCAGUUGUGGUCACCAGAAUGCUACAGUAAAAUUACAGUAAAACAUUUUCUACAUUUACAGUAAAGAAAUGUACUGAUAUUGUUGAUUUUAGGGUUAAAAAACAUGUUUAAUUCCAUAUUCUACUGUAAAAAAAGUUUUAACCUUUAAAGUUUUGAAAAUUUACAUGAAAAUACCAUAUAAAAUAAUGUUUCUGUAACUUAUUAUAAAUAUUACAGCAUUAUUCCAUUAUCAGCACAACAGUUUGUGUAUUUAACAUUAAAUAUAUAUAUUUUUAGCAAGCUGUCAUAAAUAUUAAAGCAUAUGUCUGUUAUUAACACAAAAGUACAUCAGUUUGACCAAUAAUAAACUGUAUUUUUUUUUACAUGCAAUAAAUGCAGAAUUUGUUUUGUUGCUUGUUAUAAAUAUUGCAGCAUGUUUCCAUUACCAGUACAACAAUAUGUACAUUUAACCGGGAAAAACUGUAUUCUUUUCCAGAAUUAAAUGUAAAAAUUACAGAACUGUUAUACAUAUUACGGCAUUUUUCCAUUAAAAAUUGUGCAGGAGUUGAGAAAUGUAUGUUUUUGCCGUGUGAGCGGCAGCCAGUUACAGUUGCUCCUGUUUUCAAGAGAAAGAAAAUCUAAAAAAACACAUUUUUCUCCUGAUUAACCUGUUUACGGUGAUUCAGUGUUAUAUAAACGGCAUCAAACUGUUUUAGAGUUUACAGAUUUUUACCGUCAUGGUUUGACAGUCAAAUAAUGAAUCACCAUUUGUAAAUAUAAUGGUUUUAAUGUGGGUGUUAUUUACAGUUUUGGCCUGUGGUUUUUUUAUGAUCAACGUGUAAAUUAAUACUUUUUGUCAUUUUUCUAGAUAUUAUCUGUUACUUAACAUAACAGGGAAAAUCUACAAAAUAACAGUAACAUGUUUGAAAAAUUAAAAUUUUUUAAAGUGUGCCCUUCUGAUGAAUGAACCUCUGUGAUCAAAUUAAAAGUGAAAAACUGAUAAACUAAA
This is a long non-coding RNA of Amphiprion ocellaris (clown anemonefish), 1601 nucleotides long. RefSeq lists it as uncharacterized. The record is from RefSeq and is a predicted model, not a curated record. Lineage: Eukaryota; Metazoa; Chordata; Actinopteri; Pomacentridae. The transcript has 2 exons.